GUAGGAUCCGAGCGUUAUCCGAAUUUACUGGGCGGUAAAGCGCGUGUAGGGCGGGUUGGGGGUAAGUUGGGAUGUGAAAGCUCCCGGCUCAACUGGGAGAGGUCGUUCAAUACUGCCGAACUAGAGGAUGGUAGAGGGAGGUGGAAUUCCCGGUGUAGUGGUGAAAUGCGUAGAUAUCGGGAGGAACACCAGUGGCGAAGGCGGCCUCCUGGGCCAUUCCUGACGCUCAGACGCGAAAGCUAGGGGAGCAAACGGGAUUAGAAACCCCGGUAGUCCUAGCCGUAAACGAUGUGGACUUGGCGUUGGUGGGGUAAAAGCCAUCAGUGCCGUAGCUAACGCGAUAAGUCCACCGCCUGGGGACUACGACCGCAAGGUUA
This 377-nucleotide ribosomal RNA is filed under the name uncultured organism. RNAcentral's name for it is "partial 16S ribosomal RNA". It matches the Rfam family "Bacterial small subunit ribosomal RNA", at positions 527 to 896 of the family's 1533-position model. The record is from RNAcentral.